This is a long non-coding RNA of Panthera uncia (snow leopard), 975 nucleotides long. RefSeq lists it as uncharacterized. The transcript has 5 exons. NCBI's taxonomy places the organism in Eukaryota, Metazoa, Chordata, Mammalia, Carnivora, Felidae. The record is from RefSeq and is a predicted model, not a curated record.
GCUGUGAUCUGGGAGCAGGUGACCCUGCUUCUAACACAUUGUCAAGUCACUAGUAAGCUGAUGCUACCUCAUAAUGCCUGUAUCAUUCGCUGCACUUCAUCUCAUCACACAGCCAUUUUAUCAUCUCCCUUCACCACAAGAAGAUGAGGCACAUUCUCCACCGAGGAAAAAGACGUUUGAUGUUUAGCUCUGGUCCUCCUGGGACUCUCAUUGCUCUUUAAACCCAGAGUCUUCCUCGAGCCCCGUACCUCCAGACUUCCUCCAGCCUGGCCACAUGCUCCCCAUGAUUCAAUCUUCUGCCUCACUGGCUUUCUUCAUGUUCCACAGAUCCACCUAAUUAUUCUACCCUUUGCUAUUUGUGCCUGUUCUACUGGAGUAUUUCUUUCUGCUUGGAACAAACCUUAGUUUGGUUGGCUUCUACUUGAAUGCAGCGAUCAUGUAAAUUAGAGAAAGAUAAAAAUAACUUCUGAAAUAUUCUUCUCAAGUGAUAUUUAUUCUGGAUGAAGCACUAAGAUCGCUCAUAGAGGUGUAUCACUUUCUGAGGCAGCGUUGCUGGCUCUAGAUGAUGGUUUCACAUGCAUGGAUGAAGAUCACAUGGAAGUCCUUCUCACUUCUGGCCUGACUCAUUAAGAGAAGCAAUUCCAUUUGCAGAUGGGAAGGGGGAAAACAAGGUGACCAUGAUGAAUUUCAACAACCAGGGCACCAGGAGAAAGUUUGAAAGACAGUGCAAAUGUCCAGGAGCAGCAUUCCCGGCUGUUUGAUCAUGAGUUACACAUCUUUCCUAGUGACGGUGGAUAUCUUUUUGCUGUGGACCAAAUCAAAAUGACACUUCGAAAACAUUUUUAAAAGCUUCUUUAAAAACUACACUCUGAAUAGUUUAUCUGGAAUAAAAUAAUGAUCUUUUGGAGAAGAGAAAUCCAGACACAAAUAACACAAUACUACUUUCAGCCUAAUUUUACCUAAGACUCUGAGGAA